Molecule: ribosomal RNA, 489 nt
Filed under: uncultured bacterium
Lineage: Bacteria
Description: partial 16S ribosomal RNA
Rfam family: Bacterial small subunit ribosomal RNA
Source: RNAcentral
GACGAACGCUGGCGGCGUGCUUAACACAUGCAAGUCGAACGGAAAGGCCCCCAUCUUGGUGGGGGUGCUCGAGUGGCGAACGGGUGAGUAACACGUGGGUGAUCUGCCCUGUACUUCGGGAUAAGCUUGGGAAACUGGGUCUAAUACCGGAUAGGACCAUGGUUUAGUGUCUCAUGGUGGAAAGAUUAUUGUUUUGGUGCAGGAUGGGCUCGCGGCCUAUCAGCUUGUUGGUGGGGUAAUGGCCUACCAAGGCGUCGACGGGUAGCCGGCCUGAGAGGGUGGACGGCCACAUUGGGACUGAGAUACGGCCCAGACUCCUACGGGAGGCAGCAGUGGGGAAUAUUGCACAAUGGGCGCAAGCCUGAUGCAGCGACGCCGCGUGGGGGAUGACGGCCUUCGGGUUGUAAACUCCUUUCGUUAGGGACGAAGCCGCACUUUUUUUGGGUGUGGUGACGGUACCUUUGUUAAGAAGCACCGGCUAACUACGUG